This 2931-nucleotide ribosomal RNA is filed under the name Escherichia coli. RNAcentral describes it as "bacterial LSU rRNA". It matches the Rfam family "Bacterial large subunit ribosomal RNA". Lineage: Bacteria; Pseudomonadati; Pseudomonadota; Gammaproteobacteria; Enterobacterales; Enterobacteriaceae. The record is from RNAcentral.
GGGUUGUGAGGUUAAGCGACUAAGCGUACACGGUGGAUGCCCUGGCAGUCAGAGGCGAUGAAGGACGUGCUAAUCUGCGAUAAGCGUCGGUAAGGUGAUAUGAACCGUUAUAACCGGCGAUUUCCGAAUGGGGAAACCCAGUGUGUUUCGACACACUAUCAUUAACUGAAUCCAUAGGUUAAUGAGGCGAACCGGGGGAACUGAAACAUCUAAGUACCCCGAGGAAAAGAAAUCAACCGAGAUUCCCCCAGUAGCGGCGAGCGAACGGGGAGGAGCCCAGAGCCUGAAUCAGUGUGUGUGUUAGUGGAAGCGUCUGGAAAGGCGCGCGAUACAGGGUGACAGCCCCGUACACAAAAAUGCACAUAUUGUGAGCUCGAUGAGUAGGGCGGGACACGUGGUAUCCUGUCUGAAUAUGGGGGGACCAUCCUCCAAGGCUAAAUACUCCUGACUGACCGAUAGUGAACCAGUACCGUGAGGGAAAGGCGAAAAGAACCCCGGCGAGGGGAGUGAAAAAGAACCUGAAACCGUGUACGUACAAGCAGUGGGAGCACGCUUAGGCGUGUGACUGCGUACCUUUUGUAUAAUGGGUCAGCGACUUAUAUUCUGUAGCAAGGUUAACCGAAUAGGGGAGCCGGAGGGAAACCGAGUCUUAACUGGGCGUUAAGUUGCAGGGUAUAGACCCGAAACCCGGUGAUCUAGCCAUGGGCAGGUUGAAGGUUGGGUAACACUAACUGGAGGACCGAACCGACUAAUGUUGAAAAAUUAGCGGAUGACUUGUGGCUGGGGGUGAAAGGCCAAUCAAACCGGGAGAUAGCUGGUUCUCCCCGAAAGCUAUUUAGGUAGCGCCUCGUGAAUUCAUCUCCGGGGGUAGAGCACUGUUUCGGCAAGGGGGUCAUCCCGACUUACCAACCCGAUGCAAACUGCGAAUACCGGAGAAUGUUAUCACGGGAGACACACGGCGGGUGCUAACGUCCGUCGUGAAGAGGGAAACAACCCAGACCGCCAGCUAAGGUCCCAAAGUCAUGGUUAAGUGGGAAACGAUGUGGGAAGGCCCAGACAGCCAGGAUGUUGGCUUAGAAGCAGCCAUCAUUUAAAGAAAGCGUAAUAGCUCACUGGUCGAGUCGGCCUGCGCGGAAGAUGUAACGGGGCUAAACCAUGCACCGAAGCUGCGGCAGCGACGCUGAUGCGUUGUUGGGUAGGGGAGCGUUCUGUAAGCCUGUGAAGGUGUGCUGUGAGGCAUGCUGGAGGUAUCAGAAGUGCGAAUGCUGACAUAAGUAACGAUAAAGCGGGUGAAAAGCCCGCUCGCCGGAAGACCAAGGGUUCCUGUCCAACGUUAAUCGGGGCAGGGUGAGUCGACCCCUAAGGCGAGGCCGAAAGGCGUAGUCGAUGGGAAACAGGUUAAUAUUCCUGUACUUGGUGUUACUGCGAAGGGGGGACGGAGAAGGCUAUGUUGGCCGGGCGACGGUUGUCCCGGUUUAAGCGUGUAGGCUGGUUUUCCAGGCAAAUCCGGAAAAUCAAGGCUGAGGCGUGAUGACGAGGCACUACGGUGCUGAAGCAACAAAUGCCCUGCUUCCAGGAAAAGCCUCUAAGCAUCAGGUAACAUCAAAUCGUACCCCAAACCGACACAGGUGGUCAGGUAGAGAAUACCAAGGCGCUUGAGAGAACUCGGGUGAAGGAACUAGGCAAAAUGGUGCCGUAACUUCGGGAGAAGGCACGCUGAUAUGUAGGUGAAGCGACUUGCUCGUGGAGCUGAAAUCAGUCGAAGAUACCAGCUGGCUGCAACUGUUUAUUAAAAACACAGCACUGUGCAAACACGAAAGUGGACGUAUACGGUGUGACGCCUGCCCGGUGCCGGAAGGUUAAUUGAUGGGGUUAGCGCAAGCGAAGCUCUUGAUCGAAGCCCCGGUAAACGGCGGCCGUAACUAUAACGGUCCUAAGGUAGCGAAAUUCCUUGUCGGGUAAGUUCCGACCUGCACGAAUGGCGUAAUGAUGGCCAGGCUGUCUCCACCCGAGACUCAGUGAAAUUGAACUCGCUGUGAAGAUGCAGUGUACCCGCGGCAAGACGGAAAGACCCCGUGAACCUUUACUAUAGCUUGACACUGAACAUUGAGCCUUGAUGUGUAGGAUAGGUGGGAGGCUUUGAAGUGUGGACGCCAGUCUGCAUGGAGCCGACCUUGAAAUACCACCCUUUAAUGUUUGAUGUUCUAACGUUGACCCGUGAUCCGGGUUGCGGACAGUGUCUGGUGGGUAGUUUGACUGGGGCGGUCUCCUCCUAAAGAGUAACGGAGGAGCACGAAGGUUGGCUAAUCCUGGUCGGACAUCAGGAGGUUAGUGCAAUGGCAUAAGCCAGCUUGACUGCGAGCGUGACGGCGCGAGCAGGUGCGAAAGCAGGUCAUAGUGAUCCGGUGGUUCUGAAUGGAAGGGCCAUCGCUCAACGGAUAAAAGGUACUCCGGGGAUAACAGGCUGAUACCGCCCAAGAGUUCAUAUCGACGGCGGUGUUUGGCACCUCGAUGUCGGCUCAUCACAUCCUGGGGCUGAAGUAGGUCCCAAGGGUAUGGCUGUUCGCCAUUUAAAGUGGUACGCGAGCUGGGUUUAGAACGUCGUGAGACAGUUCGGUCCCUAUCUGCCGUGGGCGCUGGAGAACUGAGGGGGGCUGCUCCUAGUACGAGAGGACCGGAGUGGACGCAUCACUGGUGUUCGGGUUGUCAUGCCAAUGGCACUGCCCGGUAGCUAAAUGCGGAAGAGAUAAGUGCUGAAAGCAUCUAAGCACGAAACUUGCCCCGAGAUGAGUUCUCCCUGACUCCUUGAGAGUCCUGAAGGAACGUUGAAGACGACGACGUUGAUAGGCCGGGUGUGUAAGCGCAGCGAUGCGUUGAGCUAACCGGUACUAAUGAACCGUGAGGCUUAACCUUACAACGCCGAAGGUGUUU